RNAcentral lists this unclassified non-coding RNA (922 nucleotides) under Hevea brasiliensis (rubber tree). Lineage: Eukaryota; Viridiplantae; Streptophyta; Magnoliopsida; Malpighiales; Euphorbiaceae. The record is from RNAcentral.
CGAACUGUUCGUUUGCAGUUGUGGUUAGAUUCAUCUCUUUAAAUAUAUUAAACUUGCUCAUAAAUAAGUGAUUAUUUUAUUUUUGCUUCUUGUUAUUCGCGGAAAUAUAACUAUGUAUAUCUAUUUCGUUUGUGAAUCCUACAUGGUUACAUUAUGUUCUUGUCUGCACAUGCAAAGGAAGAUGUCAGUUUGUUUGCACAGUAGUGCAGCAUUGCACCUGGAUGCAAUUGAAUAUCUGGGGUUCAUCCAUGUCCACUGGUCUUCCUUCCUUUGGGAAGAAGGGGAACUGUUGUAAAUGUUGGGUAAAUUAGUCUCUCAACACAGAGACAGAGAGCAAAUAAAAUACGAGUUUAUGUUAAUUCCAGUGUUGGGUUAAGAGAAAGAAUCGAGAUGGGAAAGUCAUGUUUGGCAAUGUUUGCUGCUAAAAUAUUUGGUGUCUUGUGAAAAUCCUACUAAAAUGGAAAUGAAAUCAGAGUUAAGAAUUGUGAAAUCACAUUGUUGGCUUGAGAGAGAAUCGGGAUGGGGGUGGUCUUAUUUUCUGAGGGGAAGCUUGAUGUUUUAGGAAGAUUGUUCAUUAGGGAAGAAAUAACAUCUGUAAGAAAAUUCUGUUUCAGCAGCCAUUGAUAAUGAAUCUGUGGACAAAUAUCUGAGAAUCUCAUGGAGAGUUCGAUCCUGGCUCAGGAUGAACGCUGGCAGCAUGCUUGCUGCGAUUUUUUGUUUUGCUGCAAAUAAUUUUCUUGCCUUUUAAAAACUCACAAAUUCAUUUGUUGUGCAUUUAGCUCAUUUGCCUGAUAAUGGAGGAGCAAUCAUAUUGUUGGCAAAAGGAGACAAGUUCUAACGAAAAAAAAAGAAGCAAAUUUGAAAUAAUGAAUCACAAAAAGUUAAACCUGAGGGGGAAAAAACCUGGAGAGUAGCAAAUGAG